Molecule: ribosomal RNA, 253 nt
Filed under: uncultured bacterium
Lineage: Bacteria
Description: partial 16S ribosomal RNA
Rfam family: Bacterial small subunit ribosomal RNA
Source: RNAcentral
UACAGAGGUCUCAAGCGUUGUUCGGAUUCAUUGGGCGUAAAGGGUGCGUAGGUGGUUGGGUAAGUCAAAUGUGAAAUCCCGGAGCUCAACUCCGGAACUGCAUUCGAUACUGCCCGGCUCGAGGAUUGGAGAAGAGACUGGCAUUCACGGUGUAGCAGUGAAAUGCGUAGAGAUCGUGAGGAACACCCGUGGCGAAGGCGGGUCUCUGGACAAUUCCUGACACUGAGGCACGAAGGCCAGGGGAGCACACGGG